AGGCUGGUCUCAAACGCCUGGCCUAAGCGAUCCACCCACCUUGGCCUCCCAAAGUGCUGGGAUUACAGGCGUGAGCCCCUGCACCUGACCUAUUUUACUUUUUAUAGCUUUUAUCUCUGCCUGACAUUAAAUGCCAUAUCAGGUUUUUUUUAUUAUUAUUAUUGCCCAUCUCCCUCCAAUAGGAUUUAGCCCAACAAAGGAAAGGAUGUCUCUGUGCAAACAGCCUGGUACAUAGUCCAUGCUUGACAAAUAUUUGUUAAAUGAUUGAAUGGCUUGGAAAAACCCAGAUGAAUGAGGUGAGGAGGGUGGGGACGGGUAUCCAAGCACAGGGAACAGCCUAUGGAAAGGUCUGGAGCUUCUCCGAUCCACCUGCCUCCUCUCCUGCAUGGAAGCCUAGGUGCUUUUUUUUUCUGAGACAGAGUCUCACUCUGUCACCCAGGCUGGAGUGCAGUGGUGUGAUCUCGGCUCACAGCAACCUCUGACUUCCGGGCUUAAGUGAUUCUGCGUGAGCCACCACGCCUGGCCACCUGGGUGUUCUUUCUAGGGUCAGGAAUUAAGGGGACAUUUGG
Molecule: long non-coding RNA, 569 nt
Filed under: Homo sapiens (human)
Lineage: Eukaryota; Metazoa; Chordata; Mammalia; Primates; Hominidae
Description: non-protein coding lnc-CEACAM16-1:2
Source: RNAcentral